CAUGUCUUUUUGAUAAUAAUUUAAAGUCUAACCUGCUCAAUGAUUAUUUAAAUUGCCGCAGUAUUCUGACUGUGCAAAGGUAGCAUAAUAAUUAGUUUUUUUAUUGAAAGCUGGAAUGAAUGGUUGGACAAGAAAAUUACUGUCUCUUUAUUAUUUUUUUUUGAAUUUAAUUUUUAAGUUAAAAAGCUUAAAUUUUUUUAAAAGACGAGAAGACCCUAUAGAGUUUUAUUAUUUUUAUAAUUUUUAUUUUUAGGAAUUUAAAGUUUAAAUUAUUAAAUAAAUUUGGUUGGGGUGACUGAAAGAUUUAAUAAACUCUUUUAAUUUAAAAUCAUUGAUUUGUGAAUUAUUAAUCUAUAUUUUUAAAUAUAAAAUAAAUUACCUUAGGGAUAACAGCGUUAUUUCUUUUUAGAGUUCUUAUUGAAAAAGAAGUUUGCGACCUCGAUGUUGGAUUAAAAUUUAUUUUAGGUGUAGAAGCUUAAUAAUUAAGUCUGUUCGACUUUUGAAAUUUUACAUGAUCUGAGU
RNAcentral lists this ribosomal RNA (522 nucleotides) under Lampyridae sp. UPOL RK0378. Its description in RNAcentral is "partial 16S ribosomal RNA". The stretch from base 386 to 522 matches the Rfam family "Archaeal large subunit ribosomal RNA", at positions 2542 to 2679 of the family's 2987-position model. Lineage: Eukaryota; Metazoa; Arthropoda; Insecta; Coleoptera; Lampyridae. The record is from RNAcentral.